Equus caballus (horse) is the source of this 1591-nucleotide long non-coding RNA. The record is from Ensembl. NCBI's taxonomy places the organism in Eukaryota, Metazoa, Chordata, Mammalia, Perissodactyla, Equidae.
GUGCCUGAGUGCUGAGCAGCCCCAGGCCCCGGGCCCCGGGCCCAGAGGUGAGCUGGCCAGGGCCCCCCCCAGCAGACCCUUGCCUGCCUCCUGGACCACAGGAGGCCGAUGCUCGCUGGGGGGAGACCAAGGGCCAUAGGUGGCUGCGGGAAUCACCACCCCUGGCUAGUUGCAAGGGACAGCAGAGGUGGAAAUGGGACCUGGAAAGAGGGUGGGAUUUGCCAGUCUCGAGGGGAGGAUGGAUGACCCAGGCACAGAGAAGUCAGGGACUGGUGCCGGAGCCCUGGGCCCAGGAGUGAAGAGUCUGUUUACAAGCCCACGAUUGUCCAAGGGCCGCUUCGGACACCGCACACUUCCUACCCACGUGUGUUCUGGAAGGGUUCGGAGGAAACAUCUGGCCCCCGAACAUGACGUCACUAACGUAAUAGUCCAGAUUUGACAUAAUCUAUUUAGCAGACACUCGCUCCACCUAGCAAGCCCGUCAUAGCACACUAACUCCGCACCUCCAGGACAACUGAGUCACCCUCCACGCUCUGACGGGGUCACCGCUCCCAGCCGGGGACUCCACCCUCCCACCAGACGUUCUGAACAACAACAAAAUCGCGUAACUGCGAAGCCGGGUUGUAAGAACUGUUAGCGGAACAGCUGUGCGCAGAAGCCGCAGGUGGAGGCCACCGCCACGUGGGUUACGCCCUCCUGGGAAACAAAGGUCCAAAUUGCCCACCGACAGCCCUGGGCAGACUAAUAAAUGGCAGAGCCAGGCCUCCAGCCCACGUCUGACUCAGAGACGCAAAGCCACAGCCGCCAUCAACAGCAUUAAACCCACCCAUCAAGGAAGGCGCAAAUGCACACUCAAAUCAGAUCGCUAAGGUGCAGCAAUUUCAGGCUUAAAGGGAACGCACGAUAUGGCAUGUAAACUUGACCCUCGUUCACGCACAGCUACACCAAAGACCUCUGCCUACUUUCUAGGUCCUCAGCGCAAUACUGUGCAAACAAAAUCCUGUUACUUAUAUCAGAACGAAAAAGAGGCGUGCAGUUUGACAGAUAAAUUCAAGACAGCGUAGGAAGCAUCAGUAAACAGGUGUCAAAGGUGAACAUCAGUAAAAGGCUCUUACUACGAGCAACACCCCGUCUCAGGGGUUAUUCAGGUACAUCAGUCAUCUGACGAACCAACCUGGUUUCCCCAUGUUUUUCGUAAGUCACCAGUAACCAGGGUGGCUUCAAGUAAACACACCACAUCAAGAGCUCGUCCCCGCUGACGGCUGCCAGCAGCUUACCUCUGCGUCUGCGGCCACCCAGGUGCUGACGUCACGUAAGCCACGCGGUGGGAACUGUCUGGGCUCAUCUGGCAGACAGACUCACCUACAAAACCGAGGAGACAGAGACCGUCUCUCUCUACAGCACCUAGACAAAGGCCUCUGCAAAGAUAAAUACCGAGGACCCUGCAAGAUGCCCGCUUUCCUCAAAAUCAUAGUCAAAAGGAAUGAAACCAAAAUCGCGGUCAGAUCAAAUGUCUUGCUUUCUCACAACAGCAUGAUUCUGUAAGAUAUUCGGGUUUUGGUUUUGGUUUUGAUUUGGUGCAAAAUUUAAA